CAAUAGCGUAUAUUUAAGUUGUUGCAGUUAAAAAGCCCGUAGUUGGAUUUCGGAUGGGAUUUGCCGGUCCGUCGUUACGAUGUGCACUGGCCAGUCCUAUCUUGUUGUCGGGGACUAGCUCCUUGGAUUCACUUCCUGGGACUAGGAGCUGACGAGGUUACUUUGAGUAAAUUAGAGUGUUCAAAGCAAGCCUACGCUCUGAAUACAUUAGCAUGGAAUAACACGAUAGGACUCUGGCUUAUCUUGUUGGUCUGUGAGACCAGAGUAAUGAUUAAGAGGGACAGUCGGGGGCAUUCGUAUUUCAUUGUCAGAGGUGAAAUUCUUGGAUUUAUGAAAGACGAACUACUGCGAAAGCAUUUGCCAAGGAUGUUUUCAUUAA
RNAcentral lists this ribosomal RNA (379 nucleotides) under uncultured eukaryote. RNAcentral describes it as "partial 18S ribosomal RNA". It matches the Rfam family "Eukaryotic small subunit ribosomal RNA", at positions 592 to 976 of the family's 1831-position model. The record is from RNAcentral.